This 727-nucleotide ribosomal RNA is filed under the name uncultured bacterium. Its description in RNAcentral is "bacterial SSU rRNA". It matches the Rfam family "Bacterial small subunit ribosomal RNA", at positions 28 to 756 of the family's 1533-position model. The record is from RNAcentral.
GAUGAACGCUGGCCGCGUGCUUACACAUGCAAGUCGAACGGAGUUUACCACCAUGAUUUCUUCGGAAUGAUAAUGGUAAACUUAGUGGCGGACGGGUGAGUAACGCGUGGGUAACCUGCCUCACACUGGGGGACAACAGUUGGAAACGACUGCUAAUACCGCAUAAGCGCACAGCAUCGCAUGAUGCAGUGUGAAAAACUCCGGUGGUGUGAGAUGGACCCGCGUCUGAUUAGAUAGUUGGUGAGGUAACGGCCCACCAAGUCAACGAUCAGUAGCCGGCCUGAGAGGGUGAACGGCCACAUUGGGACUGAGACACGGCCCAAACUCCUACGGGAGGCAGCAGUGGGGAAUAUUGGACAAUGGGGGAAACUGAUCCACUGCGACGCCGCGUGAGUGAAGAAGUAUUUCGGUAUGUAAAGCUCUAUCAGCAAGGAAGAAAAUGACGGUACUUGACUAAGAAGCCCCGGCUAACUACGUGCCAGCAGCCGCGGUAAUACGUAGGGGGCAAGCGUUAUCCGGAUUACUUGGGUGUAAAGGGAGCGUAGACGGCAAAGCAAGUCUGAAGUGAAAGCCCCGGGCUCAACCCGGGAACUGCUUUGGAAACUGUUUAGCUAGAGUGCAGGAGAGGUAAGUGGAAUUCCUAGUGUAGCGGUGAAAUGCGUAGAUAUUAGGAGGAACACCAGUGCGAAGGCGGCUUACUCGGACUGUAACUGACGUUGAGGCUCGA